AAUCAACGCUGGCGGCGUGCCUCAGACAUGCAAGUCGAACGAUUAAAGCUCUCUUCGGAGAGUGCAUAAAGUGGCGCACGGGUGAGUAACACGUAAGUAAUCUACCUUCGAGUGGGGAAUAACGUCCGGAACGGACGCUAAUACCGCAUAACGCAGCGGCAUCGCAAGAUGACAGUUGUUAAAGAUUUAUCGCUUGAAGAGGAGCUUGCGGCAGAUAGUCUUGUUGGUAAGGUAACGGCUUACCAAGGCUACGAUCUGUAUCCGGUCUAAGAGGACGGUCGGACACACUGACACUGAAUAACGGGUCAGACUCCUACGGGAGGCAGCAGUCGGGAA
This 336-nucleotide ribosomal RNA is filed under the name uncultured bacterium. Its description in RNAcentral is "bacterial SSU rRNA". It matches the Rfam family "Bacterial small subunit ribosomal RNA", at positions 32 to 361 of the family's 1533-position model. The record is from RNAcentral.